Molecule: long non-coding RNA, 2873 nt
Organism: Apodemus sylvaticus (European woodmouse)
Lineage: Eukaryota; Metazoa; Chordata; Mammalia; Rodentia; Muridae
Exons: 3
Source: RefSeq, a predicted model, not a curated record
CUUUAACCAUUUCACUCCUAAAGACCUCUUUCCCAAAGCAGCGCAUAUAUGGUGCCUAUACUUAACGUGGUUUGUUUUUUUCCUCCCGCUUUGCAGAGCUGUUCGCUACACUCCCCCGAUUCAUUUAAGCCUGCGCAGCCUGUAAGGUCCAUCUUACUGGUCAAAUAGAAAACUACUUUUGUGGGGCGGGGUUGAUUCUAAAAGCAGCCCCAUUUAUCCCCCUGCAGCUCAGAACUUCUUGAGGCUCUUCUAUAGGUAGCACUGGAGGUAUUACCGAAACCACUAACCUGAGAAAGAGGAAGAAAAAGUUGUCCCCUGCUUUUUGGAGUUUACAUAACUCAGUCUACUAGAGCUUGAAAAUGGUCUGGUUCCAGCCACGUGGUUCUGACUUCUGUAAUGAAGAUACCAAAACCGUGCUUGGUUAAUGAAAGAACGAAGACACAUCGGAAAGGGAGCUGUGUGGCGUCAGGAUGAAGGGUGGACCUGGCUUUCUCUCACUUGGCCGUGUCUAGCUGGAAGUCGGAAGGACAGAGGCAGAGCAAGCCCUGGACUCUGGAGAGAUGGAGGCCAACUGCCCAUCACAGAAUUCAAUUUCCACUGAAAUUAGCCUUCCAAGGAAGCCACUCACAGUGCUGAGGAUGACUUCUGCACCGUAUAUGGAAGCAAACAUUCUGAAACUAGAAAACCAAAACUACUGCCAGUUUCCCUCACCGUCCUUUGAAUACGGAAAGCACUGCAAUCCUGGGACGCCAUGAAACUGCCUUCCCAGGAGUCCACCCUGCCACAGAACACAGAUAGUGUUGUCCUCUGGGGGAGAAGAAGCCAUUUAAAUUCAGGGAACAGAUUCUCAGCACUAGCAAGCUAUUUUUAGCUAAAACUGUCGUUUCAUUUGGAAACUGAGCAGUGAAGGUCUUCCGUCUCCUUUUUGGAUUGACUUUUUAGAUGGUCAUAGAUAGUUCUGCACGUGGAAAAGGCAGUCUCCAAAAGGAGCACUUGGAACAUUUCGAAGAAUAUAUAAUUCAAAAGCUGGUCAAAGCAAAGACCUAGCCAAGGCUUUGGAAGUUUUGUUUAUCUUCAGACUGGUGUUUUUAAAUUCGUGGUGCGUGACCCUAAAAAACUAAUAAAGAAAACGAACCCUUCAUGGAUUGACUCAAGCAGAGUUUGGGGACCAGGCCAGCCUGGGCAGCUACCUGACAGGACUGCAAGCUGCCUCCAGGCUGCCCAGAGGCCUGACCAGAAUAAAGACCAAGGGAACGCCUUGGCUUUCCAGAUUCUGCAAUGCUCCGUUGAGAAGUGUCCCCCAGGAUUUGGUGGCCAUUGCUGGGAUUUCAGUCCCAGACUUUCCUUCAGGAUAACCUAAGUUCAAACUUAAUUAAAAUGAUUCAUUUUUCUGGUAACACUGUCUAUACUUUAAGAGAUUGGCUAAAUGAGGCUCGAGACUUCUGGACAGGAGAUGGUUUUCCUACGACAGCAGUUCUGCUGGGCAGCACUGAUUUUUCUCCAUGAGAAAAUUCCACAAGGUCUCUUUAUGAAAAGCACUAAAGGAGGUAUCCAGAGACAGAAUUUGGAACUUUCUAGCCACUAUUUAUUUAUUUAUUUAUUUAUUUAUUUAUUUAUUUAAAAGACAGGGCCCUGGGCUGGAGAGAUGGCUCAGAAGUUAAGAGUGCUGACUGCUCUUCCUAAGGUCCUGAGUUCAAAUCCAAGCAACCACAUGGUGGCUCACAACCAUUCAUAAUGAGAUCUGACACCCUCUUCUGGUGUGUCUAAAGACAGCUACAGUGUACUUACAUAUAAUAAUAAAUAAAUCUUUGGACCAGAGCGAGCAGAGGUCCUGAGUUCAAUUCCAGCCACUUACAACCAUCUGUACACUGCAGUGUACUCAUAUGCAUAAAACUAAAUAAAUAAAUAAAUAAAUCUUUUGAAAAAAGGACAGGGCCUUAUGUAGCUCAGGUUGACCUCAAACUCACUAUGUAGAAGAUGAUGACUUCGAAUUCCUGAUCCUUCUGCCUCUACCUCCUGAAUGCUGAGAUUAAAGGUGUAUGUGACCACGCCCAUUUUGUGCAGAGCUGGUUUUCUUGAUGGCACUCUUAUACUGAGCCACAUUCCCAGUCCACCUAACUGUCCCUACAUUCUUCUCCUUUUUAAACAAACACUUACAUAGUACAAAGCAGUGUUCAGUAUGGGUCCAACACUACCCGAAUGUGACCGCUAAUCACUCUAUGAGCCCCUACAAUUCCCCUGGCUUCUCCAUAGACAGACACCUCCCAACUCAGAACUGUCAUCAUCAAGAAAUCUGACAACAAAUGCUGUCAGGGUUGUGGGGCAAAGAGAAACUCUAAUUUAAUGCUGGUGGCAAUACAAACUACUACAGCCAUUAUACAAAUUGAGCUGUAGAGUUUUCAAAAAGUUAAUAUAUAAUUGCGAUUCGAACCUGCUAUACCCCCUGGGCAUUUACUGAAAGGAUUCCAUAUCUACCCCACCUCCUCCAAGACAGGGUUUCUUUGUAUUGAGAAGACUAGGCAGAUUCCAUGACAGGCUUCAAAGGAGACCAAGCCUCCAGGAAAGUCUAGGCCUCAGAAGCUGCCCUGCCACCUGGCCUGGGGCAAGGAUAAUGGGUCAGCAGCAGUUUCCAGACUUCCUCAGCUACUUCCUCAGCAACAGUUUCCAGACCUCCCCAGCAGGAUUCCAGCCUGGUAAUGAAAUGUUCAUAGAGAUGGACCCAACAGAUCAACACCUGGGGUGGGUCACCUAUCCCGGAAUCCCCUAGUGUGCUUUUAAGUCAGGCCUGCCGGCUCACUUGGUUGUCUCUCCAUUCUGGUUCCGGGAGGCCCCAGCGUGCUAGACUUUGCAGAAUAAAACACUCUUUGCAUUUA